UUGACCUCAGAUCAGGUAGGAAUACCCGCUGAACUUAAGCAUAUCAAUAAGCGGAGGAAAAGAAACCAACAGGGAUUGCCCUAGUAACGGCGAGUGAAGCGGCAACAGCUCAAAUUUGAAAUCUGGCGCAAGCCCGAGUUGUAAUUUGUAGAGGAUGUUUCUGGCGACGUGCCUUCCGAGUUCCCUGGAACGGGACGCCAUAGAGGGUGAGAGCCCCGUACGGUUGGAUGCCUAGCCUCUGUGAAACUCCUUCGACGAGUCGAGUAGUUUGGGAAUGCUGCUCUAAAUGGGAGGUAUACGUCUUCUAAAGCUAAAUACCGGCCAGAGACCGAUAGCGCACAAGUAGAGUGAUCGAAAGAUGAAAAGCACUUUGAAAAGAGGGUUAAAAAGUACGUGAAAUUGUUGAAAGGGAAGCGUUCAUGACCAGACUUGAGCAGGUUGAUCAUCCGUGGUUCUCCGCGGUGCACUCUGCCUGCUCAGGCCAGCAUCAGUUCGCUCCGGGGGAUAAAGGUUUUGGGAAUGUGGCUCCUUCGGGAGUGUUAUAGCCCACUGCGUAAUACCCUGGGGUGGACUG
RNAcentral lists this ribosomal RNA (574 nucleotides) under Clonostachys byssicola. RNAcentral describes it as "eukaryotic LSU rRNA". It matches the Rfam family "Eukaryotic large subunit ribosomal RNA", at positions 1 to 588 of the family's 3401-position model. Lineage: Eukaryota; Fungi; Ascomycota; Sordariomycetes; Hypocreales; Bionectriaceae. The record is from RNAcentral.